RNAcentral lists this ribosomal RNA (238 nucleotides) under uncultured bacterium. Its description in RNAcentral is "partial 16S ribosomal RNA". It matches the Rfam family "Bacterial small subunit ribosomal RNA", at positions 98 to 334 of the family's 1533-position model. The record is from RNAcentral.
UCGGACGGGUGAGUAACGCGUGGGUAACCUGCCUCCUACAGGGGGAGUAACAGUUAGAAAUAGCUGCUAAUACCGCAUAAGCGCACGGUUCCGCAUGGAACAGUGUGAAAAACUACCGGUGGUGUGAGAUGGACCCGCGUCUGAUUAGCCAGUUGGCGGGGUGACGGCCCACCAAAGCGACGAUCAGUAGCCGGCCUGAGAGGGUGAACGGCCACAUUGGGACUGAGACACGGCCCAA